Molecule: ribosomal RNA, 445 nt
Filed under: uncultured bacterium
Lineage: Bacteria
Description: partial 16S ribosomal RNA
Rfam family: Bacterial small subunit ribosomal RNA
Source: RNAcentral
GUAAGGAAUAUUGCGCAAUGGAGGCAACUCUGACGCAGCCAUGCCGCGUGCAGGAAGAAUGCGCUACGCGUUGUAAACUGCUUUUAACCGGGAAGAAACCCCAGGACGUGUCCUGGGUUGACGGUACCGGAGGAAUAAGCACCGGCUAACUUCGUGCCAGCAGCCGCGGUGAUACGAAGGGUGCAAGCGUUAUCCGGAUUCAUUGGGUUUAAAGGGUGCGUAGGCGGAGCGUUAAGUCAGUGGUGAAAUCCUGCAGCUUAACUGUAGACUUGCCAUUGAUACUGGCGCUCUUGAGUGCGCUUGAAGUGGGCGGAAUGUGCCGUGUAGCGGUGAAAUGCUUAGAUAUGGCACAGAACACCAAUUGCGAAGGCAGCUCACUAAGGCGAUACUGACGCUGAGGCACGAAAGCGUGGGGAUCGAACAGGAUUAGAUACCAGUGUAGUCC